GGAGGUAUGCCCGAGACAUAAAGGAUUACUUUGAUAGAGUAAAACACAGGGACUAAUCCCCCUUACCUCCU
Molecule: transfer RNA, 71 nt
Filed under: Tropiocolotes tripolitanus
Lineage: Eukaryota; Metazoa; Chordata; Lepidosauria; Squamata; Gekkonidae
Description: tRNA-Ile
Source: RNAcentral